ACUGCGGAAGACAUUAACGAGUUCUGAAAUGGGGUUGUUGUUGGCUGUCCCGCCCUCUCGGGGGACAAGGGUACGGCACGUGCACGCCUCUGCUCUUCCAACUCUCAUACCUCUGUGCACUCUCUGUAGGUGGGGUCUGAAGGGCCUGUGCCCCUGUGCAUGGAGCCCGGAUAUGCCUUGCCUAUGUUUCUUCAUGAACCUCUGUCUUCAGGAUGUACAAUUUUGUAUCUAUGUAUACAUUACAAAAAGCAUACAACUUUCAGCAACGGAUCUCUUGGCUCUCGCAUCGAUGAAGAACGCAGCGAAAUGCGAUAAGUAAUGUGAAUUGCAGAAUUCAGUGAAUCAUCGAAUCUUUGAACGCACCUUGCACUCCUUGGUAUUCCGAGGAGUAUGCCUGUUUGAGUGUCAUGGAAUUCUCACAACGUGCCAGGCUUGAAGUCUGGCAUGUCUGUGGAUGGUGGAGGCUUGUGCUGGAUGUGGGUUCACGCCCCGGUUCAGCUCCUCUCAAAAACAUCAGCGCCAAACCCUGCAUGGCUGCUGGCUCAGUGUGAUAAUCAUGUCUGCGCUGUGCUGCACCGAAUGCUCCCUUUGUGCUUCCGAACAUGGCUUUGCCCCCCCGCCACUUCCGUGGCGGUGUGCGAGCCCUCUGACGUUUGACCUCAAAUCAGGUAGGACUACCCGCUGAACUUAAGCAUAUCAAUAAGCGGAGGAAAAGAAACUAACCAGGAUUCCCCUAGUAACUGCGAGUGAAGCGGGAAAAGCUCAAAUUUAAAAUCUGGCAGCCUCUGGCUGUCCGAGUUGUACACUAGAGAAGUGUUUUCCGUGCCGGACCGUGUACAAGUCUCUUGGAAUAGAGCGUCAUAGAGGGUGAGAAUCCCGUCUCUGACACGGACUCCCGGUGCCCUGUGACUACACUCUCAAAGAGUCGAGUUGUUUGGGAAUGCAGCUCAAAUGGGUGGUAAAUUCCAUCUAAAGCUUAAUAUUGGCGAGAGACCGAUAGCGAACAGUUACCGUUGAGGGAAAAGAUUGAAAGGA
This 1035-nucleotide ribosomal RNA is filed under the name Candelabrochaete verruculosa. Its description in RNAcentral is "eukaryotic LSU rRNA". The stretch from base 655 to 1035 matches the Rfam family "Eukaryotic large subunit ribosomal RNA", at positions 1 to 373 of the family's 3401-position model. The record is from RNAcentral. Lineage: Eukaryota; Fungi; Basidiomycota; Agaricomycetes; Polyporales; Irpicaceae.